GCCCCAAAUCAUAGCUCAGUCAGCAGAGCAUGAGACUCUUCAUCUGGGGGUCAUGGGUUUGAGCCCCACAUUGGGCA
Molecule: non-coding RNA, 77 nt
Organism: Podarcis lilfordi (Lilford's wall lizard)
Lineage: Eukaryota; Metazoa; Chordata; Lepidosauria; Squamata; Lacertidae
Source: the annotation of a GenBank genome assembly